Molecule: long non-coding RNA, 2598 nt
Organism: Trifolium pratense (red clover)
Lineage: Eukaryota; Viridiplantae; Streptophyta; Magnoliopsida; Fabales; Fabaceae
Exons: 3
Source: RefSeq, a predicted model, not a curated record
UUUUUUUAAUAUAAUAAAAGAAAAAAACUGUAUUGAAAUUUGAAACCCUAGCGUGCCUCUUUUCCUUCACACUCCCUCCUCACGAUGCUCUACAGCGCCUCCCUCUUCAUCUCCGCCACCAUAAGCCUCCAUCUUCUCCUCCUUGAUUAGGCAUCAAGACUCUAUUUUCCCCUAUAGCCUCUUACCAUUCAUGACCUUUUUCCCUUUUUGCAACAGCCCCGGCGUUCGUUUUUCACAUCACAAGUGAGAACCAGUCACCACACACAAUCUCUAUAUCGUCCCUCACCGUUAUCUUCUUACAGCCUUCUCUUCCGUUGUGGCAUCUCACUUUUCAGCUACUGAACAAAUAAAGGGGACAACAAAUGAAUGAGGUUUUAACCAUUAACAAUAGUUAUAUCCUUUAAGUUGUAUGAUAAGGUUUGUGUUUUGUUUUGGUUUGUGGGUUGCUGUUCUGUAGUAGAAUUUUCUGGUUUUGGGGUACGGCAGCUGCAGAUGAGUCGGAUUACUAGCCUCGUAUCAGGUGUUUCUCUCAUUCCUCCCGAUUCAUUACUUCGGAGUGGUAGUAUUUUAGCUCAAAGUACUGGUUUUUAACUUUUAUUAUAAUUCUUUUGCUCACAUAUUUUGAUUGAACUAGCAUCAGAAAACUACUAUUUUUUAUUUGAGAUAUGGAAUAUUGGUUAAGAAUGAAUCUUUUAUGUUCUAAUGUUAAAUGGUAAUCAGUGCAUAAUUCUUGUUAUUUUAUACCUUAGGUUGGUUUCAAUUCUUUGCUUUUGAUCCAUACCUUCAACCUCUUCUAUGACAUCUUUGUCAUUGACACACAAUCAGACACUACUCAGUUAUAAUGCUAUUGUUUAUUUACGAUUUAUGAAGAACUUGAAAGUACAUGAGUAUAUAGGACAAUUGUUUUAGUCCACUUUUUCUAAGGAUUCUGCAAAACCUUUCAUCUGUCAAUGUCCAUUAACUGCUAUAAAAUUGGCUGGCUAGUACUUCCAAUUCCUCUAUACCUCCAUGGGCUAUAGGGUAAGUAAGUUAUGUUCUUUUUCUUGUGUUGAUUUUAAUGUUAGAGGUUUUAGUUAAGCAUAUGUGAUAACUUGAAUCACUUUAAAUUAACGUUAAGAAGCUACAUCUAGAGGGAAGAUUAAAUCAAAUAGUAGAUAAAGAUCUAAUUUGAAAGUGACUUAGUUGAAUUGGAAGAAAUGGUACACGUUGCAUUCUUGUGUACACAUUUUAGGUGACUUUGUUGAUUAUGUGGAAUUGCAUAUCCCUGACUCUUAAGCAUCAAUUGUAAAUAUUAUAGUAUGUGACCAAACCUUCUAAAUUAGUAAUUGUCCUUUUUACCUCUUUUUUUCCCUACAAUGUUGAACUGUGUGUUUGAUUUUGAUGAAGGGUGGUGGAAAGGUACAGUGGUCCUAUGAAAACUUCCUAAUUUUUCUUAUCGUUUAUCUUUUGUUUGGUUUGUGGUGUAUUAUAGGCAUGCUUAUGCAACAACUUUUCUUCUUUUGUUUAAAUGAGAAUAGGUUGCAGGUGACAGCAUAAACUUACUGAGGAUUCAAUUGAUGUACUUCAUGGGAUAUUUGGUUGGUAGAGGAGUGGAGUUAAAGCCAUUACUUUAUUAUUUAUUAUUUUCCUCUGCAGGAGUAACUGGACUGAUUACCUUUGGUAUUUAAUUUAGAUUUGAAUCCCUUGAAUAGAGUUGAUGCAUGUAGAAGUUUAUUAUCAAAUUAUACCAACUAAUGCUGCUUUAUCGAUUUGAUUAAAAUUAUGAAAUUGAAACAGAUCUAUGUGAACAGAACUGCAAUGUGAAAUUAAUGGAUUAGUUUUUAAUGUGUUCAUAAUUAAAACCUUUACUAGAAAAAACCAGCAUAAUUUGUAUUGGUUAAUACACCAAUCUACUAAGGAUGCUAAUAGAUUUAACCAACAAAAUCAGUUUGGUUAAUACACAAUCUACUAAGCAUAAUUCACCAAAAUCUGUUUGUUAGUUCACAUGCUAAUAGAUUAAUUUUGUGCAUACCAUUCACAUGGUAUUAGAAUAAAAAUCACAUGCUUUCACUUGUUAUUAGAACUAUGUGCUUUUAAUUUGUAUUACUUGCAGUUUGGUAAUAGAAUAGAAAUCAUUUGGUUUCACUUGUUCUUUAAAUUAUGUGUUUUCACUUGGUAUAGUCUGUACUUUGACACGUGCAAUGUAUGGGCUAGUUAAUUGUGUUCUUUAAUGAUGAUACAAUAUUCUAAUAUUAUUUAAUAUUUAUUUAGGUAUUUGGAGAUUCAACACCAUUUCACGAGGACGAAGUUUCGAAUGUUCAAGAAAGUUUAGCAAAUUUGAUUCUUGAAUUUAUAUGAAGUAGCCUAAGAUUGUUUAGAUUUAAUUUGGUUAGGCGUGUUUUGGUAGUAGUCUAAGAUUGUGUAGCUUUGCUUAGGCUUGUUUGUGCUUUUGUUUGGAGCAUAAGAUUGUUUAGUUUUAGUAGGAGAUAUUUAGAUCCGAUGGUACUUUCGGAAUAGUAUUUCAUGAAUAUUUUGUAACUUAAUUUAAGUACAAUUUGGUGGUAUGAUAUUUGGUUUUAUGAUAUUUUUUAUUGAAGGUAGUGAUGAAGUUUCGAUUUA